This is a long non-coding RNA of Elgaria multicarinata webbii, 278 nucleotides long. RefSeq lists it as uncharacterized. The transcript has 4 exons. NCBI's taxonomy places the organism in Eukaryota, Metazoa, Chordata, Lepidosauria, Squamata, Anguidae. The record is from RefSeq and is a predicted model, not a curated record.
UGUCAUUGUGCACGGACAGGCUGGGAAGUUCAGCCUCAUCCCCACCAUUAUAAACCUGGCCACAGCGCUGACAUCCGUGGGGGUGGGCUCCUUCCUCUGCGACUGGAUCUUAUUGACCUUCAUGAAUAAGAACGACGUGUACAGCACCCGGAAGUUUGACCAGGUAUCCAGGUGCCCGGAAGGAACUCCGUCAACGGAACUCAGCACCACCGACUCCUGCACGCGGGCCUCCUCUCCCAUAGACCCAAAGAUCCCCGUCCAUCUCUGAGGCUCACCCC